This 328-nucleotide ribosomal RNA is filed under the name Streptomyces boetiae. Its description in RNAcentral is "Streptomyces sp. DSM 44917 partial 23S ribosomal RNA". It matches the Rfam family "Bacterial large subunit ribosomal RNA", at positions 237 to 519 of the family's 2925-position model. Lineage: Bacteria; Bacillati; Actinomycetota; Actinomycetes; Kitasatosporales; Streptomycetaceae. The record is from RNAcentral.
CCGGGAGUAGUGGUGAGCGAAACCGGAGGAGGCUAAACCGUCUGUGUGUGAUACCCGGCAGGGGUUGCGCGGGCGGGGUUGUGGGAGUUCUCUUGAUCGUUCUGCCGGACGGUCGGCGAGUAAGAAACCAUUGCGGUAGUCGAAGGGCAUGCGAAAGGCCCGGCGUAGAGGGUAAGACCCCCGUAGACGAAAUCGUGAUGGCUCGUUUGAGGGCCACCCAAGUAGCACAGGGCCCGAGGAAUCCUGUGUGAAUCUGGCGGGACCACCCGUUAAGCCUAAAUAUUCCCUGGUGACCGAUAGUGGAUAGUACCGUGAGGGAAUGGUGAAA